GCCAUGCGUCAGUACGGCGAGUGAGCGGCAACAGCUCAAUUUGAAAUCUGGCCCUAGGCCCGAGUUGAAGUUUGCAGAGGAUGCUUUUGGUGCGGUGCCUUCCAAGUUCCCUAGAACGGGACGCCAGAGAGGGUGAGAGCCCCGUACAGUUGGACACCAAGCCUUUGUAAAGCUCCUUCGACGAGUCGAGUAGUUUGGGAAUGCUGCUCAAAAUGGGAGGUAUAUUUCUUCUAAAGCUAAAUACCGGCCAGAGACCGAUAGCGCACAAGUAGAGUGAUCGAAAGAUGAAAAGCACUUUGAAAAGAGGGUUAAACAGCACGUGAAAUUGUUAAAAGGGAAGCGCUUGUGACCAGACUUGCGUCCGGUGAAUCACCCAGCUCUCGCGGCUGGGGCACUUCGCCGGCUCAGGCCAGCAUCAGCUCGCUGUCGGGGACAAAAGCUUCAGGAACGUAGCUCUCUUCGGGGAGUGUUAUAGCCUGUUGCAUAAUACCCUUCGGCGGGCUGAGGUACGCGCUCCGCAAGGAUGCUGGCAUAAUGGUCAUCAGCGACCCGUCUUGAACCACGGACCA
RNAcentral lists this ribosomal RNA (569 nucleotides) under Colletotrichum gloeosporioides. RNAcentral's name for it is "partial large subunit ribosomal RNA". It matches the Rfam family "Eukaryotic large subunit ribosomal RNA", at positions 72 to 668 of the family's 3401-position model. Lineage: Eukaryota; Fungi; Ascomycota; Sordariomycetes; Glomerellales; Glomerellaceae. The record is from RNAcentral.